CCUACGGGUGGCAGCAGUGAGGAAUAUUGGUCAAUGGCCGUAAGGCUGAACCAGCCAAGUCGCGUGAAGGAAGAAGGAUCUAUGGUUUGUAAACUUCUUUUAUAGGGGAAUAAAGGUAUCCACGUGUGGAUAUUUGCAUGUACCCUAUGAAUAAGCAUCGGCUAACUCCGUGCCAUCAGCCGCGGUCAUACGGAGGAUGCGAGCGUUAUCCGGAUUUAUUGGGUUUAAUGGGUGCGUAGGUUGUUUUUUAAGUCAGCGGUGAAAGGUUGUGGCUCAACCAUAAAAUUGCCGUUGAAACUGGAAGACUUGAGUGUGUUUGAGGUAGGCGGAAUGCGUGGUGUAGCGGUGAAAUGCAUAGAUAUCACGCAGAACUCCGAUUGCGAAGGCAGCUUACGAAGCCAUAACUGACACUGAAGCACGAAAGCGUGGGGAUCAAACAGGAUUAGAUACCCGAGUAGUC
Molecule: ribosomal RNA, 460 nt
Filed under: uncultured bacterium
Lineage: Bacteria
Description: partial 16S ribosomal RNA
Rfam family: Bacterial small subunit ribosomal RNA
Source: RNAcentral